UCCACCCAAUCUCUCAUGAAGCAGAUUCUUUAUUGAGAUCAGUAAGAAGAGGGUUGUAGAAUCACUCCUAAAAUUUGGUCUAGUCUAAACCCUACCAUUCAUUGGGUUUUCUUAAUAAUUUAUUCCUCAGUAUCCCUAAAAUUAUCUUGACCGUUAAUCAUUCAUUGAUUAGGAUGCCUAAUUGACUCUUAUUCAAAAUAAAAUUUGGAUACAC
Molecule: long non-coding RNA, 214 nt
Filed under: Elaeis guineensis (African oil palm)
Lineage: Eukaryota; Viridiplantae; Streptophyta; Magnoliopsida; Arecales; Arecaceae
Description: long non-coding RNA (EGUI_LNC081489)
Source: RNAcentral